CUUUUUGAUGAUGCAACCGAUAAUUGACGACUAAUAAUAAUAAUAAUAAUAAUAAUAAUAAUAAUAGGUUGUGUUGGAUGUGGAAGUGCGGCCAUUUUUUUCUGAGUAAACAAAUAACGUCAUGCUGCAGAGACACAGCGGUCAGAUCUAGUCUGAUCUAGAGAUUAAGAUGAAGGUCAGGUGAGAUAAUCUGACAGUGGUGUUGAGUUCGAGCCGGUGUCAUGUGGAGUUUGUACAGUUUGGUGAGUUCCCUGCUCUAACACACACCUGCCUAAGCUGCACAGUGUGUUACAGAGUGUGUUUGUGUGUGUUACAGAGUGUGUUUAGGAACAGUGGAGUUAAUGUGUGUUAGUGUUUCCCUGAUGUAAUGAGAUGAGAUGAAAAGUAAUGAGAUGAAAAUGACAGUGUUUAGGAACUGAUGUUAGUGUGUUAGGAAGUGUUGGUGUAUUUUGUGGGUGUAUUUGUUUCUGUGUGUGUGUGUGUGUUGGAUUCAUUAAGAGUGUUGGUGUGUAAUAAUGCAUGUUUAGACAGGUGUGUUAGAGUAGGGAAACACUGGUGGACCUCAUUACAUGUGCGUGCUGCGGUGUUCAUUGUUGUAUUGUUCAGAGUUUAGAUGGAGCGUGGAGUUUAGCAGUAUUUGGUAUCGGGCUGUGCAGUGUUGAGGUGUUCGGUGUUGAGGAGUUUGUUGGUGUCGAGAUGUUCGAUGCCGAGUUUGUUGCUGUCGAGAUGUUCGAUGCCGAGUUUGUUGCUGUCGAGAUGUUCGAUGCCGAGUUUGUUGGUGUUGAGGUGUUCGAUGCCGAGUUUGUUGGUGUUGAGGUGUUCAGUGCCGAGUUUGUUGGUGUUGAGGUGUUCAGUGCCGAGUUUGUUGGUGUUGAGGUGUUCGAUGCCGAGUUUGUUGGUGUUGAGGUGUUCAGUGCCGAGUUUGUUGGUGUUGAGGUGUUCAGUGCCGAGUUUGUUGGUGUUGAGGUGUUUUGUGUUGAAUUAUUUGUUGUCAUGUUUGUAGAUGUUGAGUUGUUCCUUAUGAAUCUGAAUACUACAGUAACAGGAAGAAAAAAAUAAAUGGCCAGAAGUGUUCUCAUGGUAAUAUUUAACCACGUGAAUAUAACCCACACUGUGUUUAUUAUUUUAUUCACGCCAUUAUUUCACGAUACCUCAUUAGCACCAGUCCUUACCGUUGAUCAUCAAAUUCACAAAUAGACAAUU
Molecule: long non-coding RNA, 1203 nt
Organism: Ictalurus punctatus (channel catfish)
Lineage: Eukaryota; Metazoa; Chordata; Actinopteri; Siluriformes; Ictaluridae
Source: Ensembl